UAAAAAUGUGAGAGAGGCAUGCAAGGGCUGUCGCUGACUCCAAGAUCGUGCACGCCGGAGUGCGCCCUCUCACAUAAUAAUCCAUCUCACCCUUUGUGCACCACCGCGUGGGCACCCUUUGGGAUCAGACUGAUCUCGGAGGAUGCUCGCGUUUCACACAAACCCCCCUUUUAAAAGUGUAGAGUGACCUCAUUUAUGCGCUAACCCGCAAUCAAUACAACUUUCAACAACGGAUCUCUUGGCUCUCGCAUCGAUGAAGAACGCAGCGAAAUGCGAUACGUAAUGUGAAUUGCAGAAUUCAGUGAAUCAUCGAAUCUUUGAACGCACCUUGCGCCCCUUGGUAUUCCGAGGGGCACACCCGUUUGAGUGUCGUGAAAAUCUCAACCUCCUUGGUUUCUUCUGGAGACCAAAGGAGGCUUGGACUUUGGAGGCAUUUGCUGGCAUCUUCUCUCUUUUGAAGGUCAGCUCCUCUUAAAUGAAUUAGCGGGGUCCUCUUUGCCGAUCCUUGACAUGUGAUAAGAUGUUUCCAUGCCUUGGUUUCUGGCUCUGUUGCUUUUGGGACCCGCUUCUAACCGUCUUGACCUUGCAUCGAGACAAUGUUCGAGCUCGUCUCCCUUCUCGGGAGACACUCUCGACUCCACGAACCCUUGACCUCAAAUCGGGUGAGACUACCCGCUGAACUUAAGCAUAUCAAUA
This 696-nucleotide ribosomal RNA is filed under the name uncultured fungus. RNAcentral's name for it is "eukaryotic LSU rRNA". The stretch from base 219 to 372 matches the Rfam family "5.8S ribosomal RNA". The record is from RNAcentral. Lineage: Eukaryota; Fungi.